GAUGAAGAACGUAGCGAAAUGCGAUAAGUAAUGCGAAUUGCAGAAUUCCAGUGAGUCAUCGAAUCUUUGAACGCACAUUGCGCCCUUUGGUAUUCCGAAGGGCAUGCCUGAUCGAGCGUCAUUAUCACCCCUCAAGCCCUCGGCUUGGUGUUGGACGGUUUGGUGGAGGCCCCCUCGGGGGCUCCUGCCCCUCCCAAAGACAAUGACGGCGGCCUCGUUGGACCCCCGGUACACUGAGUUCUUCACGGGACACGUAUCGGACACAUGGGUUUACGGGACACGGUCUGCCUCCCCUCAGGGAGAAUCUUUCUAAGGUUGACCUCGGAUCAGGUAGGGAUACCCGCUGAACUUAAGCAUAUCAAUAAGCGGAGGA
RNAcentral lists this unclassified non-coding RNA (373 nucleotides) under soil metagenome. RNAcentral's name for it is "partial contains 5.8S ribosomal RNA, internal transcribed spacer 2, and large subunit ribosomal RNA". The stretch from base 1 to 121 matches the Rfam family "5.8S ribosomal RNA", at positions 35 to 154 of the family's 154-position model. The record is from RNAcentral.